This 253-nucleotide ribosomal RNA is filed under the name uncultured bacterium. RNAcentral describes it as "partial 16S ribosomal RNA". It matches the Rfam family "Bacterial small subunit ribosomal RNA", at positions 524 to 776 of the family's 1533-position model. The record is from RNAcentral.
GACAGAGGGUGCAAACGUUGUUCGGAUUUACUGGGCGUAAAGCGUGUGUAGGCGGCUUCGCAAGUUGGAUGUGAAAUCCCACGGCUCAACCGUGGACGUGCAUCCAAAACUGCGUCGCUAGAGUCUCGGAGAGGAAGGUGGAAUGCUUGGUGUAGAGGUGAAAUGCGCAGAUAUCAGGAGGAACACCGGUGGCGAAGGCGGGUCUCUGGGCCGAUACUGACGCUGAGGAGCGAAAGCGUGGGGAGCGAACAGG